Molecule: long non-coding RNA, 621 nt
Filed under: Gossypium barbadense (sea-island cotton)
Lineage: Eukaryota; Viridiplantae; Streptophyta; Magnoliopsida; Malvales; Malvaceae
Description: long non-coding RNA (GBAR_LNC006075)
Source: RNAcentral
UUCAGGCUAAUGGAAUCAUUCACUAGAUUUGUUGAAGAUCAAAAGUCACAGUUUAUUUUGAUGCAGCCUUUGACCGUCAAUCUUCUAGAUCGGCUAUGGGCUUACUUGUACGAAACAAGGAAGGGGAGAUUUUAGCAUCAAAGGCGGUCAUUCACUCGGAGAUAGCAACUCCGUUCACAACAAAGGCACAUGCAGGAUUACAGGCAGUAAAAUUAGGAAUUUUUAUGGGAUUUAACAAAAUGGAUGUUGUGGGAGACUUAAAAACUGUUAUUAGAAAAUGUCAAAGUACAAAAACAGAUAAAUCGGCCCUUGGAGCAAUCAUCAGAGACAUUCAAAGCAUAAAACACAGAUUCCAGGAGAUUGAGUUUCAUUUUGUCCCUAAAGCAGAAAAUAUGAUCACUCAUGUUAUUACGAAGGAAGCCCUUAAGAGAAGAGAGAGUUAUUACCUGGUGAGAGGGAUCUCUGAAUCCAUUCAUCAAGAACUGCAGAUCUAUAGACCAAGGCAUCCAGAUUGAAGAGAGGAAGAUGGAAACGUUUUGGUGAAAGAGAUAGUAGAGAAAAUUAAAAGUCUCUUUUUGAAAAACUGCUAUCAUUAAAUGGCUGGUCGGUGAUGGAAAUGAC